GGAGAGGUGCCAGAGCGGUCGAAUGGGCCGGUCUCGAAAACCGGUGUGGGUGUAAGCUCACCGUGGGUUCGAAUCCCACCCUCUCCGCCA
This 90-nucleotide transfer RNA is filed under the name Magnetospirillum sp. LM-5. RNAcentral's name for it is "tRNA-Ser". It matches the Rfam family "tRNA". Rfam says of the family: Transfer RNA (tRNA) molecules are approximately 80 nucleotides in length. Their secondary structure includes four short double-helical elements and three loops (D, anti-codon, and T loops). The record is from RNAcentral. Lineage: Bacteria; Pseudomonadati; Pseudomonadota; Alphaproteobacteria; Rhodospirillales; Rhodospirillaceae.